This 180-nucleotide ribosomal RNA is filed under the name uncultured Glomeromycotina. Its description in RNAcentral is "partial small subunit ribosomal RNA". The stretch from base 91 to 180 matches the Rfam family "Eukaryotic small subunit ribosomal RNA", at positions 735 to 827 of the family's 1831-position model. Lineage: Eukaryota; Fungi; Glomeromycota. The record is from RNAcentral.
GACCUGGCUGGGUGGUCUUGCCGCAAGGUUAGCACUGCCUCUGGUCGGGUCUUUCCUUCUGGGGAACCUGCGUGCCCUUAAUUGAGUGCGUAGGGGAUCCAGGACUUUUACUUUGAAAAAAUUAGAGUGUUUAAAGCAGGCGUUUGCUUGAAUACAUUAGCAUGGAAUAAUGGAAUAGGG